GCCACUGAAAACGAAAGAGCUUGAUUUAGCUUGCCUGCGUGCGGUUUGGAUGGGGUUCACGCAACAUUAAAAUACCUUAAUAUAAGGGGCCCAACUUUGGUUUUAGAAGUGGUGGGAACAUAACUUUGCGAGGGGUCUGGCAUCUAAAGCAAAUUUCCUGCAUUUCUACACAAUCCAAUAUAACCAAUGGCCCUUCUAGCCCUCUCUAUUCAGAACAACUCAAAUUAAGAAAAAAUGCACCCAGUCAUCAAGCUAGGAAAAGCCUCUAUCAACACUUGUUACAGUUUGAAAUCAACUUUGGAGAUUGGACUUCCCUGGCUGCUUGACCCUGCUGAGACCCCUGUCACCAUCACAGAUUGGACUUCCCUGGCUGCUUGACCCUGCUGAGACCCCUGUCACCAUCACAGAUUGGACUUCCCUGGCUGCUUGACCCUGCUGAGACCCGUCACAAUCUGAUCCUCCUAAGAUGAGGCAUGACAAAGAUUUACUUGGUGAACAUUUAUACAUUAUAUUUUCCAAGAAUAUAAUCAAUGGUUCAGUAAUUGAACCAGAUCCCAGACUGUAAUAAGCUGUCCUGUAGCUACUGUAGGUCCAACUAUCAACUCAAGAUGGAACUUUGUAUCAUUCACUGAUAUUGUUAUUGUUAGUAUUCUGCAAAAUUCGCCUGAGCUCUGUAGACUGGCUGUCUGACCCUUACUGGGACACAUGUCACCAUCUGAUCCUUUUAAGACAUGAUGAUCAUAGUAUUGUGUACUGACGGUGAAGCCUGUAGAGCUGUUUAUUACUGUGUUAGUGUUAAAAGUAGGCAAUUAGCUAGGGAAACUGACAAAUCGAUAACAUUAUAUUGCUAUCCUGACUCUAAUAAAAACUCACAUUGCACAAAAGAAAUGUCAGAAUUAUAGGUCUUCAAUCGUUUGCCCGCUGGUUUCAUCAUUUGAUUCAGGUCUGGUGUGAAUGAGGCAAAAAUAAUCCCUACCUAGUUUUGGCCAGCUCUCUCUAACAAUACAUCAAGUGGCGAAAGCUAGCUAAAUUAAUUUACUUCUGUUGAAAUGGGACAAAAAGUCUACAAAACAUUUCCAUACAAACAGCUGUUAGAUAGUAAUAAUAGCCAUCUCACAUAGCAA
This is a long non-coding RNA of Oncorhynchus tshawytscha (Chinook salmon), 1124 nucleotides long. RefSeq lists it as uncharacterized. The record is from RefSeq and is a predicted model, not a curated record. The transcript has 3 exons. NCBI's taxonomy places the organism in Eukaryota, Metazoa, Chordata, Actinopteri, Salmoniformes, Salmonidae.